Pistacia vera is the source of this 633-nucleotide long non-coding RNA. RefSeq lists it as uncharacterized. Lineage: Eukaryota; Viridiplantae; Streptophyta; Magnoliopsida; Sapindales; Anacardiaceae. The record is from RefSeq and is a predicted model, not a curated record. The transcript is spliced from 3 exons.
AUCCGGUGGUAUAUUCCCCUUAGGAAAUCAAAAACUUGCUUCAACGGAUUGAUGAAGGAAAUUGUGCUACCGGCGGCCUCAACCCUUUGGCUAAGGUUUUUGGUAUUGCAGGCUGCAUUAAGUUUUUGGAGUCAUAUUAUUUGAUUUUGGUUACCAAGCGAAGACAAAUUGGAUGUAUAUGCGGUCAUGCAAUAUACAGUAUAGAUGAGAGCCAAUUGAUUACGAUUCCUCAUGUCUCUAUUCAAUCAGAUGUGGCGCAUUCGAAAACCAAACUCAGGUACAAAAAGCUAUUAUCCAGUGUAGAUUUGACCGAAGAUUUUUUCUUUAGCUAUACAUAUCCCAUCAUGCAAAGUUUGCAAAAGAAUGUGUUGUCAAUGGGUGAGGAAGGUAUGCCUUAUGAUAACAUAUUUGUGUGGAAUGCAUAUCUAACGCAAGCCAUUAGAUCGAGGUGCAAUAACACUAUUUGGAAGAUAGCAUUAGUUCAUGGCCAUUUUAGGUAGGUAUGUGGUUCUGUCAAAUGGUUAUAUGUCUAUUGAUAUAAUUUUAAUUUUCCACUUUAGAUGAUAAUGAAGAAAGUAGAUUUAUUAGAAUUAAAAUGAAAUUACAAAUAUAGUGAACCAACAGUCCACUAGA